AUGAGCAUUACGCCGUGGCACUACCAUUCCCAGACCCAGCUGCUGUUGCCUCUUCUCCUGAUCGCCCUUGCGGCGGCCACCCGGUUGGUGGUCCUAGGAGCCGCUGCUGAAAAGCAGGGGCAGCCAAUCACACUUCCGGGUUGCCCAGACAAGUGCGGCGACAUUAGCCUCCCGUUCCCGUUCGGCCUCGCCGCCAUGCCCGGCUGCUUCCUUGAGGGCUUCGAGGUCUCCUGCAACGACUCCUUCGACCCCCCUCGAGCCUUCCUUGCUUACCCAGGUUUAUCCCAGAGUGUGACCCGCUACUCCUACAUCUACUCGGGGGCGGCGAACAUCACUGGCCGGGUGCGGGACAUGAAUAUCACGGUCGUGGUGGCGCCGUUCGAGCUCAUUGGCGUAUCAUCCGCCAAGGGCGAGGUGCAGGUGUACGGCGCUGUAGCAUCCGUCUGCAGCACAAAUGCUGACAACUUUGUCAAAACUAGACAGGCUACAUAUUUGGUAGACACGCUCAGCAUCAACGGGGAGGGGCCGUCGCCGUUCCUCCUGUCGAUGACGCGCAAUGUUCUCGUCGGCAUCGGCUGGGACGUCGAUGCUAUGGUCUCCAGCAGCAUCGGGGGGAAGGUCGGAAACAGCUACUUCCUCACCUGCGAGUCAGACCUCAGGGGCAACCUGCACGACGCCACCAAUGGCUCCUGCUCCCGGCGGGGCUGCUGCCAGCCCUCCUUCCCGGAAGCGGCUCCCCUCGACAGGUUCUCUGUCAACGUGGAUGGGCCCUAUAACAACACCCUGUGGGAGACCAACCCGUGCUCCUAUGCCAUGGUGGUGGAGAGUUCGUGGUACAACUUCUCUACGCCGGACUUGUACGGCGACGAGUUGCAGCGCAAGAUACUGCCAAGGGGCGUGCCGUACGUGCUGGAUUUCGCCAUCCGGAGCGGAUCAUGUCCACCCGAAGGGCAGCCGUCUCCCGUGUGCGCCAGCGCCGACAGCUAUUGUGCCAACGCAACCAGGGGGCCUGGCUUUGUCUGCAAAUGCUUGCCCCACUAUGAGGGUAACCCUUACAUCACCGGUGGAUGCAAAGACAUCGAUGAGUGCGAGCACCCUGAUUUGUAUCCUUGUUCUGGGACAUGCAUAAACAAGCCAGGAGGCUAUGAUUGCCCAUGCCAAAGAGGGGAGAAAGGGGACGGGAAAACAGGAACUUGUGCAGACAAAUUCCCCCUACUACUAACAGUGGUUGUUGGUGCAAUAGGGGGGAUUUCUUUCAUUUCAAUUGUGACACUUGUUAUUCUUCUUCGCAAAGAGAAAAUAAAGAUGAGAGAAUUCUAUGAAAAGAAUGGCGGGCCUACCUUACAGAAGGCAAAAAUCAUAAAACUUUUCAAGAAGGAGGAACUCAAACCAAUUCUAAAGAGUAGAAAUUUUAUUGGAAAAGGUGGCUUUGGUGAAGUUUACAAGGGUAGGCUGCUUGAUAUUGGGCUAGUUGCAGUGAAGAAGCCAAUUAGUGGUAGUGUGUUAGAAAACAAUCAAUUUGCUAAUGAAGUCAUCAUCCAAUCUCAAGUAAUCCACAAGAACAUAGUCAGGCUCAUCGGUUGUUGCCUAGAAGUUGAUAUCCCAAUGCUAGUAUAUGAGUUUCUUUCCAGAGGUAGUCUCGAUGACAUUCUUCAUAAUAACAAUGUUGCACCUCUUGACUUGGAUGUGCGUUUACACAUUGCUGCUGAGGUAGCAGAUGCUCUAGCUUAUAUGCACUCAAAAGCCCAUACUAGAAUCUUACAUGGUGAUGUCAAACCAGCAAAUAUACUCUUGGAUGAUGACUUUAUGCCAAAGAUUUCAGAUUUUGGCAUAUCGAGGUUGAUUGUGAGAGAUAGACAACACACAAAUACAGUCAUUGGUGACAGGAGUUAUAUGGAUCCAGAGUACCUACGGUCGGGCCUACUGACUGAAAAAAGUGAUGUCUACAGUUUUGGAGUUGUGAUACUGGAACUUAUUAGUAGGCAACAGGCUACACAUUUAGAUGGUAGUGGAUUAGUAGACAAUUUCCUUGCAGCCCACAAAGAAAAUAGAGUUGCUGCGUUGUUUGAUAACGCAUUUACAAGGCCGAGAGAUUUGGAGCUUCUUGGCAAUCUUGCAGGGAUCGCUAUACAAUGUCUUGAAGAUGAUGUGAAUCAAAGGCCAUCAAUGGUAGAGGUAGCUGAGCGCAUUCUCGCAAUUUAUCAAUCUCAUAUCACGUUAAUUUAG
Molecule: ribosomal RNA, 2226 nt
Filed under: Triticum aestivum (bread wheat)
Lineage: Eukaryota; Viridiplantae; Streptophyta; Magnoliopsida; Poales; Poaceae
Description: partial small subunit ribosomal RNA
Source: RNAcentral